Molecule: long non-coding RNA, 936 nt
Filed under: Musa acuminata (dwarf banana)
Lineage: Eukaryota; Viridiplantae; Streptophyta; Magnoliopsida; Zingiberales; Musaceae
Description: long non-coding RNA (MACU_LNC004900)
Source: RNAcentral
UCCGAAUUUUCCCAGUCAUCAAAUUUUCUUCGACCACAAUUACAAAUACAAGCAACAAAACAAGACUUUUUCUGUUUUUGCUUAUAUAUUUAGAUCUAUUUGUUCCAUCUCUAAUUUUGACUUGGUCUUCUCCCAAAACCAAGAGUUGCUUGCAUCGUUCAAUGUUCAUCAUCGCACAGGUGAUUUCAACAACCAACUUAAUCUUAACUCAACAUAAUUCGAUCAUAUCUUACAAACAAGAUUGCAUAAUUUAUGCAACAUCAGAAGGAAUUCUUCUUCCUCCUCCUCCUACUAAGGAGACUUUAUGACAUGAACAGAUCAUUAUAAGAAGACUUGCAUCGAAAGGUACAUAAACACAACUUGUCUUCAAAGUUGAUGAAAUCUUCGAUCAUUCGUUCAUAUACAAGCAAUCUAAUUCGCACCAGUGAUGCAUGAGAACAUGCGGCUGCUCCCAAACCUCGUCUGCUUGGCCAAGCGGCCAUGUCCGCCGCCAACCCUCUCGGGCGAGAAGUCCUCCAGCGAGCGGUGCCUCCUGUGGCCAUUCUGGUCCUCAUGGAAACUCCCGAGCUUGAUCGGCGCCGGCCGGAGGAAUCUCUGGGUGUUAGGGUCGCCAAACCACUGCGAAGAACCGGUCGAGAGGGACCGGUAGUACUUGCGAGCCUUUCUUCUCUUGAUCGCCCUGUAGAUGUAUGGGAUCAGCCCUUCCAUUCUUUUCUCGGUUGGAAGAGUUUGAAGGUUCUGCCAAGCCUCUUAUAAGGAGGGAGAAGAAAGCUGAGUUGACUUUGGUUCCUUCUCGAGUUAAUCCGCAUGCCACAUUCGCUGGCAGAACAAGAAAUUGCUGUCAGGAUAAAGAUGGAAAUCUCCUGUCACCCACUGUCAUUAGAAAAGAUCAUGAAGAAGAUCAAACAAUGCAACAGUCAAUCACUUGGCGUAUAA